Molecule: ribosomal RNA, 497 nt
Filed under: uncultured bacterium
Lineage: Bacteria
Description: partial 16S ribosomal RNA
Rfam family: Bacterial small subunit ribosomal RNA
Source: RNAcentral
GACGAACGCUGGCGGCGUGCCUAAUACAUGCGAGUUGAGCGCUGAAGGUUGGUACUUGUACCGACUGGAUGAGCAGCGAACGGGUGAGUAACGCGUGGGGAAUCUGCCUUUGAGCGGGGGACAGCAUUUGGAAACGAAUGCUAAUACCGCAUAAAAACUUUAAACACAAGUUUUAAGUUUGAAAGAUGCAAUUGCAUCACUCAAAGAUGAUCCCGCGUUGUAUUAGCUAGUUGGUGAGGUAAAGGCUCACCAAGGCGAUGAUACAUAGCCGACCUGAGAGGGUGAUCGGCCACAUUGGGACUGAGACACGGCCCAAACUCCUACGGGAGGCAGCAGUAGGGAAUCUUCGGCAAUGGACGAAAGUCUGACCGAGCAACGCCGCGUGAGUGAAGAAGGUUUUCGGAUCGUAAAACUCUGUUGGUAGAGAAGAACGUUGGUGAGAGUGGAAAGCUCAUCAAGUGACGGUAACUACCCAGAAAGGGACGGCUAACUACGUG